CGCGUUCGCUGCUUCGCGAUUAUAAGUGUGCGUUACGUUUCGGGAUGGCAAACUGGACGGUUUUUUUUUUUACCCCGAAGUGACGAGCCUUCAGAAUCGGCGAGAGCGUUGACUUGCGUCCUACAGAACUGGGUGCAGUUGGUGCUACAUCAGUGUGCUUGCUGCCCUGGCAAGCAAACACCCGGAAGAAGAAAUUUCUAGAAGCCACGGAAUCGAAACGUGCAGUCAGUUUGAAGAGACCGGCUCUGGUGAAACUCUGUGCCCUGAUGGGAUGCGAGGAACUGUCGCACCGCCCGCUCCACCACUGCAUUGUCUCGCAAGUGACGCACCGUGAGUGCGGGGACGUCAGCUCGCACCUCCAUCGGCGACCACGUGAUGCUGGCGAGAGGGACCCUGGAGUCAGCGCAGCCGUGCUUGUCGCCGUGUGACGACACCCGGGCCUAGCUCGACGGACGAGGCCACUGCUGCGGCUACAAGCAUGACGAGGGCAGCGCGCCGUGUGGCCGUACUCGGCAUCACUCACUCACUCACUCACUCGCCGGACUACCACCGUGGACGGGGGCUCAAGUAUUUAACCAUGCUAAAAAUACAAAUAAAUAUGAUUAUUUUCAAUUUUUGU
Bacillus rossius redtenbacheri is the source of this 619-nucleotide long non-coding RNA. RefSeq lists it as uncharacterized. The transcript has 3 exons. Lineage: Eukaryota; Metazoa; Arthropoda; Insecta; Phasmatodea; Bacillidae. The record is from RefSeq and is a predicted model, not a curated record.